This 497-nucleotide ribosomal RNA is filed under the name uncultured bacterium. Its description in RNAcentral is "partial 16S ribosomal RNA". It matches the Rfam family "Bacterial small subunit ribosomal RNA", at positions 28 to 507 of the family's 1533-position model. The record is from RNAcentral.
GAUGAACGCUGGCGGCGUGCCUAAUACAUGCAAGUCGAGCGAACGGACGAGAAGCUUGCUUCUCUGAUGUUAGCGGCGGACGGGUGAGUAACACGUGGAUAACCUACCUAUAAGACUGGGAUAACUUCGGGAAACCGUAGCUAAUACCGGAUAAUAUUUUGAACCGCAUGGUUCAAAAGUGAAAGACGGUCUUGCUGUCACUUAUCGAUGGAUCCGCGCUGCAUUAGCUAGUUGGUAAGGUAACGGCUUACCAAGGCAACGAUGCAUAGCCGACCUGAGAGGGUGAGCGGCCACACUGGAACUGAGACACGGUCCAGACUCCUACGGGAGGCAGCAGUAGGGAAUCUUCCGCAAUGGGCGAAAGCCUGACGGAGCAACGCCGCGUGAGUGAUGAAGGUCUUCGGAUCGUAAAACUCUGUUAUUAGGGAAGAACAUAUGUGUAAGUAACUGUGCACAUCUUGACGGUACCCAAUCAGAAAGCCACGGCUAACUACGUG